GCGGAAAAGUAAAUAAAAGAAAACACACCUGGAGCUCGAGCGCGUGGUGUGGAAAAAACAGCAGCAGCAGCAGAAAACAUGAGGCCGAGUCUAAGAUCGCUGUUUGAACAAAUUGUGAAUUCGCCCAUCCAACAGUCAGAAGAACAUUCAAGCUCCAAUGAGGAAAAUGACAAUAAUGGAUCUGUCAAGUCAGUGGGUCAUGUACCCGGAAAUCUAGCUGCUAUGGUGGUAAGUGAGCCGCAAUUCUUUCUGUCCCUCUUGCUCGAGAUCUCCCUGUUUUAACCCCUUUUUUUAGAAGUGCAAUAUUAUAAAAUAACUUGAUUAACGAGAUUCUCUGUGU
This is a long non-coding RNA of Rana temporaria (common frog), 340 nucleotides long. RefSeq lists it as uncharacterized. The record is from RefSeq and is a predicted model, not a curated record. The transcript is spliced from 3 exons. Lineage: Eukaryota; Metazoa; Chordata; Amphibia; Anura; Ranidae.